This 62-nucleotide small RNA is filed under the name Streptomyces sp. NRRL S-495. RNAcentral describes it as "ASpks sRNA". Lineage: Bacteria; Bacillati; Actinomycetota; Actinomycetes; Kitasatosporales; Streptomycetaceae. The record is from RNAcentral.
CUUCAGCGACCCGAGCCACAACGGGCGGUCCUGGCCGUAGGUGGCCAGCAGUGCGUCGCCUC